Molecule: transfer RNA, 86 nt
Filed under: Carbonactinospora thermoautotrophica
Lineage: Bacteria; Bacillati; Actinomycetota; Actinomycetes; Kitasatosporales; Carbonactinosporaceae
Description: Streptomyces thermoautotrophicus tRNA-Tyr
Rfam family: tRNA
About the family: Transfer RNA (tRNA) molecules are approximately 80 nucleotides in length. Their secondary structure includes four short double-helical elements and three loops (D, anti-codon, and T loops). Further hydrogen bonds mediate the characteristic L-shaped molecular structure. tRNAs have two regions of fundamental functional importance: the anti-codon, which is responsible for specific mRNA codon recognition, and the 3' end, to which the tRNAs corresponding amino acid is attached (by aminoacyl-tRNA synthetases). tRNAs cope with the degeneracy of the genetic code in two manners: having more than one tRNA (with a specific anti-codon) for a particular amino acid; and 'wobble' base-pairing, i.e. permitting non-standard base-pairing at the 3rd anti-codon position.
Source: RNAcentral
GGCAGGUUGCCCGAGCGGCCAAAGGGAGCGGUCUGUAAAACCGUCGGCGAAAGCCUACGCAGGUUCGAAUCCUGCACCUGCCACCA